UGACGGUACCUUGAUAAGAAGCACCGGCUAACUACGUGCCAGCAGCCGCGGUAAUACGUASGGUGCGAGCGUUAAUCGGAAUUACUGGGCGUAAAGCGUGCGCAGGCGGUUUGGCAAGUCAGAUGUGAAAUCCCCGAGCUCAACUUGGGAACUGCGUUUGAAACUGCCAGACUAGAAUAUGUCAUACGGGGGUAGAAUUCCACGUGUAGCAGUGAAAUGCGUAGAGAUGUGGAGGAAUAUCCAUGGCGAAGCAGCCCCCUGGGCUAACACUGACGCUCAAGCACGAAAGCGUGGGGAGCAAACAGGAUUAGAUACCGUGGUAGUCCACGCCCUAAACGAUGCUACUAGUUGUUGGGGGAGUAAAAUCUAUGAGUAACGUAGCUAACGCGCGAAGUUGACCGCCUGGGGAGUACGGUCGCAAGAUUAAAACUCAAAGGAAUUGACGG
Molecule: ribosomal RNA, 446 nt
Filed under: uncultured bacterium
Lineage: Bacteria
Description: bacterial SSU rRNA
Rfam family: Bacterial small subunit ribosomal RNA
Source: RNAcentral